CGGGGCGUGGCGCAGCGGAAGCGCACCCGCUUUGGGAGCGGGGGGUCGCAGGUUCGAAUCCUGCCGCCCCGACCA
Molecule: transfer RNA, 75 nt
Filed under: Chloroflexota bacterium
Lineage: Bacteria; Bacillati; Chloroflexota
Description: Chloroflexi bacterium tRNA-Pro
Rfam family: tRNA
About the family: Transfer RNA (tRNA) molecules are approximately 80 nucleotides in length. Their secondary structure includes four short double-helical elements and three loops (D, anti-codon, and T loops).
Source: RNAcentral